AUAACGAAACAGGGUUUAGAUUUCAGGUUUACUAAAGAAGCAGUAGAAUUUAUGAAAAGAAUGUACAAUGGCUUUAUUUAAAAUACCCUGCAAAUUGAUUGUAGAAUCUUGCAGCAAUUUAAAAGCAUUGGAUAGUAGCUUUGCCUAACAGCAUGGAAAAUCUAUAUAAAGGUUAUGGACAAAGGUUAUGAGAGUAACACUAAGUGUGGAAUAAAGUUAAAAUUAGUUUUUGAUUACCUAAAUCAGACAUUGGAUCAACUUAACAUAACGGAGGGAGUAAGAAGGUUAUAGGGAGAAGUUGCUAAUAUCUGACCUUGGUU
This is a non-coding RNA of Cinara cedri, 320 nucleotides long. The record is from the annotation of a GenBank genome assembly. Lineage: Eukaryota; Metazoa; Arthropoda; Insecta; Hemiptera; Aphididae.